GGCCGGUGUUGACUACCCAUAGCUUUUUCACACUGAGGGUGUGAGCUGUUGGUGGGUCUAUGAAUCUGGGGUCUGGAGGUUGGUGGCCAUCUGCGUGGGGGCUCCAAGCCCAUAUUUUCCUUCCACACUUCCCUAGUAGACGUUUUCCAAGAGGAUCUGCCUCUACAUCAGGCUUCUGCCUGGAAACAGUGGGAGUUGGGGGUGGGGGGCAAAUCCUUCACCAAUGGUUAAGCACCAUCUUUUUGAUGCUGACCUUGUGAGUUCUCAUGAGAUCUUGGAUCUUUGUAAAGAAUUGUUAACUACUUGUGAUCAGAAGGCUAACAGGAAAAUGGUCAGUGAAAACCAGACUUGGAAGGUCUCAGAUAAUAAUGAGGAACUUACUGGGAACAGAAGCCAAGGUUACUUUUGUUUUGCUGUAGCAAAGAACAUGGCUGCAUGGUGACCCUGCCCUGGAGAUCUGUGAAACUUUAAACUUGAAGGUGAUGACUUAGUGCAUAUCUGGUGGAAUGAACUUCUAGGAAGCAAAGCUCAAGAGGUGUCUUGUC
Molecule: long non-coding RNA, 545 nt
Filed under: Homo sapiens (human)
Lineage: Eukaryota; Metazoa; Chordata; Mammalia; Primates; Hominidae
Description: non-protein coding lnc-ANKRD18B-5:2
Source: RNAcentral